Long non-coding RNA from Ricinus communis (castor bean), 1044 nucleotides. RefSeq lists it as uncharacterized. The record is from RefSeq and is a predicted model, not a curated record. Lineage: Eukaryota; Viridiplantae; Streptophyta; Magnoliopsida; Malpighiales; Euphorbiaceae. The transcript is spliced from 2 exons.
CAUGACUUAAAUCUAGUUGAUAUUACAGACAGUUUCCCUAACCUUGCUGAAUGGACUUCUGACUGAUGGGACGGCAUACCGUGUCCUGAUCCUGAGCUUGGAAUGGAUCUUACUUCAUCUCCUGUAAAUUUACAGAAGUGACUCGGAGCCAAUUCCACUCUGAAAGUCUUCAAAGGGCUGUAAGUCCCCACAGUCAAUCAAAUAGGCUGCAGUGCUUUUCCUUGGAACAAGCUAAGGUAUUGUUGGAAUGACUUACAUAUCCUGUUGGGUCUUGGUAAUCUCCUCUCUCUAGCGGUGAUGAUGAUGAUGGUUCUGGAGGCAGAGGCGCAGAAGUCCUUGCUGCUUACACAAGUAGAAUAUGGAUUACUCUUCAUUGUCUUUUUUAAGAUAAUAAUCUCAACAGCAACCGUAUGUAGACUCUCACCAGAAGGUGAGUCAUGGGGGGGUUGGGUACUUUUCAUCCAAAGCUCUAAAAGGGGUGCUGGAUAAUAUAUUUCUCCAUUUGCAUUUGCAGAUAAAUCAUCAAUAAGUACCAGAGGUGGCAGCUCCAUGAGGUUAGCUGUCUUCAUUUUAGACAUGAUAUCCCUGCGUGCCUGGAAAGCAUACAGUAUAGUGUUCAAGACUGCAUUUUCUUUUUUGCUGAGUUUGUUAUGCAUGCAAGUCACAUUGACAAUCUAAAUAAUUACAGAUAGGGUAGCUCAUCCCUUAUCUAUCCAAUUGUCUCCUGACAUGCAAGAGUAAGGAAAUUCUCAAGUUGUUAAACUUCUUAUAAAGGUGAACUGUGUUGGAGAACAAGAAAAUACCUUUCUUUUUCUUCCUCUUCUUGAGACAAUAUCGGAAGCAUUCUGAAGCCAGGACUGGUAAGUAGGACCAGGAAUAAUGGUUUGUUCAUAGUCCAUUGCGGGGGUUGCCUGCCUUUUUAUUCUCUUUUUAGUUGGUCCUUUCCUCUGUUGAUCCUCCUUCAUCAUGCUUUCUAGGUCAGUCAAACUUGUAUUAUUUUCUUUAAUGGUUACGCAUAAUCAGCCCUGGAGUUGCUUUAGUUAA